Molecule: long non-coding RNA, 244 nt
Filed under: Lathyrus oleraceus (garden pea)
Lineage: Eukaryota; Viridiplantae; Streptophyta; Magnoliopsida; Fabales; Fabaceae
Description: Pisum sativum (pea) long non-coding RNA (PSAT_LNC010583)
Source: RNAcentral
GCUGAAAUGGGGUGGGGCAGUACACUCAUCCAUCAUAUUUUUUUGAAAUUCAAAACAUCCUAUCACUAAGCGAAACAUGGUGAUGAGAAAGAAAAAAACAAAACAAAAAUAAAACAUUUGCUUCCUCUAUCCAUCGUAAAAGAAAAAAAUAAACAGAAGAAGAAAUCUUCCUCUUCCAACCUACACCUCUUUCUUUCUCUCGCUUGCUUUUUCAAGAAUUCAACUGGUCAAAACUGGGGUUCCC